GACCCGUAGUUAUAGCCUGUUUGGACUUCUAUUCUCGAUCCAUGUGAAACUUAAAGCAUUUCUCAACAUGGCUUCCGAAAAACGCUUGAAUCGGCAGUUUUUUAAGAGCUAGGUCUGAGCGAUGCAACACAACGCAUGUGUGGUGGAUGCGGAUGUACGCGUGGGGAUACGCGGGAGACGUCGUGUUGUUUCCGGAAGCGGCGCCAUAAAUCCGCGCACCCUUCUCCAAUGGCUCACUCUCUCCUCUCUUCACACUCUCAUCGACGACUGAGCACCGACAGCGAGCAUCGGUGGCAAGAUCUGGACAAAGGGCAACGUCACCUCUCCUUCACACGUCCGGCAAUGGCAAAUGACAAGCUCGUCCUCAACAAUGCAGCUUCAGGGAACUCCUCAAAGGGCAAGAAUGUUUUAUUUGACAAGAAGGGCAAGGUGAUGGUGGAGCUCGCAACGCCCCGAAGAGGCGUAAGAACUAUGACCACUUCCAUGAGGACGUCAAGUCACUUAUGCAAGGUCAUACUUGCACCCCUAGUUGGAGUGUCUGCCGCCCUGUGACUUAACCAAGCACUUGACCAUUGUCCCACCACAAUUCGUGCUGAGGACGAGCACCAGCUGCGUCUGGAGGAUCAUGGUCCGGACGAUCAACAACAGACUCACCCUUGAUAAAGGUUUGGCCCCCUUCACCGUUUCUCACCAUAUCAAGAUCGGGUACCUCGUCACCUUACAAGCUGCCGAGUCCCGACACCUUGCUGGUGAUCGUCUUCAAUGACGAUGUGGUUGAGUUGGUGGCCAAGUGCAAGGAGCAUGAAGAGGCAUUUGCCAUGGACCCUUCAGGUGUUAUCUUUGCGCCUUUUAGUUUAAGUUGGACAAUUAGUUUGAGACUCUGGUGACUCUUUUAGUAAGUGUGUGUUACUCCCUCUUGUACUAAAUCAACAACAAUUAAUAUAGAUGGAGUAGUUUAA
This is a long non-coding RNA of Aegilops tauschii subsp. strangulata, 959 nucleotides long. RefSeq lists it as uncharacterized. NCBI's taxonomy places the organism in Eukaryota, Viridiplantae, Streptophyta, Magnoliopsida, Poales, Poaceae. The record is from RefSeq and is a predicted model, not a curated record.